RNAcentral lists this ribosomal RNA (500 nucleotides) under uncultured bacterium. RNAcentral describes it as "partial 16S ribosomal RNA". It matches the Rfam family "Bacterial small subunit ribosomal RNA", at positions 30 to 523 of the family's 1533-position model. The record is from RNAcentral.
AUUGAACGCUGGCGGCAUGCCUUACACAUGCAAGUCGAACGGCAGCACGGGAGCAAUCCUGGUGGCGAGUGGCGAACGGGUGAGUAAUGUGUCGGAACGUGCCCAUUCGUGGGGGAUAACGUAGCGAAAGCUACGCUAAUACCGCAUACGAUCUAUGGAUGAAAGCGGGGGAUCGCAAGACCUCGCGCGAUUGGAGCGGCCGAUAUCAGAUUAGGUAGUUGGUGGGGUAAAGGCUCACCAAGCCGACGAUCUGUAGCUGGUCUGAGAGGACGACCAGCCACACUGGGACUGAGACACGGCCCAGACUCCUACGGGAGGCAGCAGUGGGGAAUUUUGGACAAUGGGCGAAAGCCUGAUCCAGCCAUUCCGCGUGCAGGAUGAAGGCCCUCGGGUUGUAAACUGCUUUUGUACAGAACGAAAAGGUUUCUACUAAUACUAGGAGCUCAUGACGGUACUGUAAGAAUAAGCACCGGCUAACUACGUGCCAGCAGCCGCUGUAA